RNAcentral lists this long non-coding RNA (308 nucleotides) under Callithrix jacchus (white-tufted-ear marmoset). Its description in RNAcentral is "lncRNA (ENSCJAG00000071515.1)". Lineage: Eukaryota; Metazoa; Chordata; Mammalia; Primates; Cebidae. The record is from RNAcentral.
UCUGAGACAGCUCUCAAUCAAGUGACACGGACUCGCCAGCCUAUUUCGUUGUCAUUUUUACGAACGAUCCUCUUCUAUUUUUCACCUGCAACGUAUCGGUGUCAUCAGAGCCCAGACGAUAAUUCCAACCGUCAUAUCUUGAAGUUCACUGAUCAUGUCUUCUGGCUGCUAGAAUCCACGACUGAUAACCUCUCGUGAACUUCUAAAUUUCAGUGACUAUACUUUUCAGCUCCAGAUUUCAUGCCUGCAGUGUUUCCAGCCUCAGUUCUUAUUUAGGCAAAGCAAAGAACACCCACGUUCAUCCUUCC